Molecule: ribosomal RNA, 489 nt
Filed under: uncultured bacterium
Lineage: Bacteria
Description: bacterial SSU rRNA
Rfam family: Bacterial small subunit ribosomal RNA
Source: RNAcentral
AGCGAACGUUAGCGGCGGGCCUAACACAUGCAAGUCGAGCGAGAAAGUGGCUUCGGCCAUCAGUAAAGCGGCGGACGGGUGAGUAACACGUAGGUAAUUUUCCUUCCAGCGGGGGACAACGUUCCGAAAGGGACGCUAAUACCGCGUACGUUUCUCGGGACUCCGGUCCUGAGAAGGAAAGCUAGGUAGCAAUAUCCGGCACUGGAUGAGAAGCCUGCGUAGCAUCAGCUAGUUGGUGGGGUAACGGCCACCAAGGCGAAGACGCUUAGCUGGUCUGAGAGGAUGGCCAGCCACAUUGGGACUGAGAGACGGCCCAGACUCCUACGGGAGGCAGCAGUGGGGAAUCUUGCGCAAUGGCCGAAAGGCUGACGCAGCGACGCCGCGUGUGGGAUGAAGCAUUUCGGUGUGUAAACCAACUGUUGCCCGGGACGAACAGCCUUUUCGAGAGGCCUGACGGUACCGGGUGAGGAAGCACCGGCUAACUCCGUG